AUUGAACGCUGGCGGCAGGCUUAACACAUGCAAGUCGAGCGGGGUGAUGGUGCUUGCACUAUCACUUAGCGGCGGACGGGUGAGUAAUGCUUAGGAAUCUGCCUAUUAGUGGGGGACAACAUCUCGAAAGGGAUGCUAAUACCGCAUACGUCCUACGGGAGAAAGCAGGGGAUCACUUGUGACCUUGCGCUAAUAGAUGAGCCUAAGUCGGAUUAGCUAGUUGGUGGGGUAAAGGCCUACCAAGGCGACGAUCUGUAGCGGGUCUGAGAGGAGGAUCGGCCACACUGGGACUGAGACAGGGCCCAAACGCCUACGGGAGGCAGCAGGGGGGAAUAUUGGACAAUGGGGGGAACCCUGAUCCAGCCAUGCCGCGUGUGUGAAGAAGGCCUUAUGGUUGUAAAGCACUUUAAGCGAGGAGGAGGCUCUUUUGGUUAAUACCCAAGAUGAGUGGACGUUACUCGCAGAAUAAGCACCGGCUAACUCUGUGCCAGCCGCCGCCGUAA
Molecule: ribosomal RNA, 503 nt
Filed under: uncultured bacterium
Lineage: Bacteria
Description: partial 16S ribosomal RNA
Rfam family: Bacterial small subunit ribosomal RNA
Source: RNAcentral